This 86-nucleotide ribosomal RNA is filed under the name Oryza sativa (Asian cultivated rice). RNAcentral's name for it is "partial 18S ribosomal RNA". It matches the Rfam family "Eukaryotic small subunit ribosomal RNA", at positions 1 to 85 of the family's 1831-position model. The record is from RNAcentral. Lineage: Eukaryota; Viridiplantae; Streptophyta; Magnoliopsida; Poales; Poaceae.
UACCUGGUUGAUCCUGCCAGUAGUCAUAUGCUUGUCUCAAAGAUUAAGCCAUGCAUUGUGCAAGUAUGAACUAAUUGAACUGUGAA